This 253-nucleotide unclassified non-coding RNA is filed under the name uncultured Cryomorphaceae bacterium. RNAcentral describes it as "contains 16S-23S intergenic spacer region". It matches the Rfam family "Bacterial small subunit ribosomal RNA", at positions 524 to 776 of the family's 1533-position model. Lineage: Bacteria; Pseudomonadati; Bacteroidota; Flavobacteriia; Flavobacteriales; Cryomorphaceae. The record is from RNAcentral.
UACGGAGGGUGCAAGCGUUAUCCGGAUUUAUUGGGUUUAAAGGGUGCGUAGGCGGGGUGUUAAGUCAGUGGUGAAAUCUCUCAGCUCAACUGAGAAACUGCCAUUGAUACUGACAUCCUUGAGUUUGGUUGAAGUAGGCGGAAUGAGGCAUGUAGCGGUGAAAUGCAUAGAUAUGCCUCAGAACACCGAUCGCGAAGGCAGCUUACUAAGCCAAUACUGACGCUGAGGCACGAAAGCGUGGGGAGCAAACAGG